GGUUAAGCGACUAAGCGUACACGGUGGAUGCCCUGGCAGUCAGAGGCGAUGAAGGACGUGCUAAUCUGCGAUAAGCGUCGGUAAGGUGAUAUGAACCGUUAUAACCGGCGAUUUCCGAAUGGGGAAACCCAGUGUGAUUCGUCACACUAUCAUUAACUGAAUCCAUAGGUUAAUGAGGCGAACCGGGGGAACUGAAACAUCUAAGUACCCCGAGGAAAAGAAAUCAACCGAGAUUCCCCCAGUAGCGGCGAGCGAACGGGGAGGAGCCCAGAGCCUGAAUCAGUGUGUGUGUUAGUGGAAGCGUCUGGAAA
This 311-nucleotide ribosomal RNA is filed under the name Escherichia coli. RNAcentral's name for it is "partial 23S ribosomal RNA". It matches the Rfam family "Bacterial large subunit ribosomal RNA", at positions 1 to 348 of the family's 2925-position model. Lineage: Bacteria; Pseudomonadati; Pseudomonadota; Gammaproteobacteria; Enterobacterales; Enterobacteriaceae. The record is from RNAcentral.